AUUGUUGGUUAAGAUAAAAGUUUAAAUAAAUGAUUUUUUGAUUUAAGGAAGCAGUUUAAGAUGUAAAAAUUUAAAGGCUUAAGCAUGUCAUGAGGGUUUGAGUAUGUGAUAUUUUAGAUAUAAAUAAAUAGUUUGAGGUAAAAAAAAUAAUAAUGAAACUUUAAAGUCUAACUUUAAAGUUUUAGUAAGCUAUAAGGUUUAGGAUAUAAGAUAUAAAGGUAUAUAUGAGGUAUAUAAAAAUGGAACCUGUUUCAGAUUUCUUUCUCUUGCUAUUCUGCUGUUACAUGGAGACUCCAAAGGGUCAUAGUUUUAAAAAUGUCUGUCUACUCUGCAGGUAUGAAUGAAAAUGUGGCCACAUGUAUGUUUGGUUUUGAAUGUCUGAGUUUGCAUGUCCUUUGUGUUAAGGAAUACAAGUUAAUACUAGUCAUCUGGCUAUCCAGAUACUAGUUUAAAGCAUAUACGGUUAAUUCUUCUUUAA
This is a non-coding RNA of Peromyscus maniculatus bairdii (prairie deer mouse), 478 nucleotides long. The record is from RefSeq and is a predicted model, not a curated record. Lineage: Eukaryota; Metazoa; Chordata; Mammalia; Rodentia; Cricetidae.